UACGUAGGGUGCGAGCGUUGUCCGGAAUUAUUGGGCGUAAAGGGCUCGUAGGCGGUUUGUCGCGUCGGGAGUGAAAUCCACUGGCUUAACUGGUGGCUUGCUUUCGAUACGGGCAGACUGGAGGCAUGCAGGGGAGAACGGAAUUCCUGGUGUAGCGGUGGAAUGCGGCAGAUAUCAGGAGGAACACCGGUGGCGAAGGCGGGUCUCUGGGCAGUGAACUGACGCUGGAGGAGCGAAAGCGUGGGGAGCGAA
This 252-nucleotide ribosomal RNA is filed under the name uncultured bacterium. RNAcentral's name for it is "partial 16S ribosomal RNA". It matches the Rfam family "Bacterial small subunit ribosomal RNA", at positions 524 to 772 of the family's 1533-position model. The record is from RNAcentral.